Non-coding RNA from Cherax quadricarinatus, 1848 nucleotides. Lineage: Eukaryota; Metazoa; Arthropoda; Malacostraca; Decapoda; Parastacidae. The record is from RefSeq and is a predicted model, not a curated record.
AUAUAGAGGUAUGCGGGGUAUAUAGAGGUAUGCGGGGUAUAUAGAGGUAUUCGGGGUAUAUAGAGGUACACGGGGUUUAUAGAGGUACACGGGGUUUAUAGAGGUACACGGGGUUUCGUUCAUAUGUAGUGAACUUUGUCGACAAAAAGUUCACUACAUAUGACCGAAACGGUUCUUCUGUUUUCUUAACUCUUACUAUCACUACUUGUGUGUUGCGACACACAACUUUUCAAAAGCGAAUUUGUUAAGUCCCCCAAGUCAGUUCCUGAUCAUCCUGGCUGUGGUGCUUACAUUGGUCUUGGUGUAAUUUGCACCAACAACAGUGAUCCCAGGAACUGUCAUUAAGUAAAUUACAAAUAAACUACAGGUAUACAUCAUUCAUAAGUCACUAUACAUAUAGUACACAACAUGAAGUUGGAGCCAACCACUGAGCCAUAUUUCGUUUGUUAUAUUUACUUUAUUUCUCUGAUGUAUACACUAUGUGAUGUAUACACUGAUGUAUACACCAUUCGAAACUAUUUAAACGCGAGUCAGUCAAGGAAAGAAUGAUUACUCAUUGAGUAAUGACUUUGAGAAGAGCAUAUCCAGAGUAAGGGUGCUGAUGGUUGCCCGUCGUGUGGCGUAAUACCUGUCUUGUGGCUGUCCAGUGUUGUGCAAGUGAGGGACCGUAAGAAAAUAUGACUUGUUCAUAACAGUAAGAUAACCGACAUCUCUCUGGUGUUGAUAAAUUUGCUGAAAUUACAGGUUCAAAGAGGCCGGGACGAGGCAAGAGAGGAGUCGCUUGCACGGUCCUCUGCCUUACCCAGAAGGCGGAGAUGGGGUCUUGGCAGACAGUUCAAGAGCGUGGUGCAUAUUGAAGGUGAGAUGAGUGUUGCUGUACUGUUGCUGUACUGUUGCUGUGCUGUGGUGAGGUACUGCUGUCUACCUGUUGUGGUCUAGGACCCUGCAGGUAACUACUGCCCACCUGCUAUGGUCCGGGAGGUGAUGAGAUAGUAGCGGUUUACUGUCUACCAGCAGGUAGGAACCAGUCCUCGUCCAGCACCACUCACACCCCACUCUACUCACACUUAGAACCCCCACUCACAUUAACACCACUCACACUCCAGGCUACUUCAACUCCCAGUAGUACAGUUGCACUCCAGUCCUCUGUCCCUCUCACUCUCAGUAGAGCUAAUAGCACUCCAGUCCCAUUUCACUCAGUAGUACCAAUAGAACUUCAGUCCACUUUCACUCUUAGAACCAGUAGAACUCCAAUCCACUUUCACUCUCAUUAGUACCAAUAGCACUCCAGUCUACUCAUAACUUCCACUCACGGUAAUACCACUCACUUGCCUGACAACUCGCACUCAAUACCUCUUAAGUAGUUGUUCAAGUGUGUUUCUACACAGUCACCUGGCUACUUAUCUACCUAUUUACCUACCUGUUUGUACCUAUUCAACCCCCUGUUAAGCAACUGCUAUUCUCUCUCUCCCUCCCCCAGUAACCUUGCAUGUUGUUUUGUGUGUGUGUUUGGCAGUUUAAUACUAUAUUAUAUGAUUGUACUCAAAGCAGUGGUGGUACUAAAAUAUUUAAAGGUAAUUUCCCGUAAGAUAAUAUGAGAUGAGUAUCAAGGAUGUGUGACGUUAAACACAUAUUCAAGGAGCAGCUGCGAUACUGUCACGCACCUGUUAGUACAUAUGUACAUCGAGUGAUUGACACUUGUACCUUAGAUAGCUGGAUACUUGUACGUCAAGUACUUGGACAGGUUUACGUCAAAUAUUAGUACAGGUGUACAUCAAGUACCUGGAAAAGUGUACAUCAAGUACCAGGACAGGUGUACAUUAAGUACCUGGACAGGUGUACAUCAAG